AGCUAUGUGUAGUGGUUUGGGUGCUGGACUAUGACUCUGGAGUCCAGGGUUCGAUUCCCAGCUAAGCCA
Molecule: transfer RNA, 69 nt
Filed under: Phrynosoma platyrhinos (Desert horned lizard)
Lineage: Eukaryota; Metazoa; Chordata; Lepidosauria; Squamata; Phrynosomatidae
Description: tRNA-OTHER
Source: RNAcentral